UACGUAGGGUGCAAGCGUUAAUCGGAAUUACUGGGCGUAAAGCGUGCGCAGGCGGUUUUGUAAGUCUGUCGUGAAAUCCCCGGGCUCAACCUGGGAAUUGCGAUGGAGACUGCAAGGCUAGAAUCUGGCAGAGGGGGGUAGGAUUCCACGUGUAGCAGUGAAAUGCGUAGAGAUGUGGAGGAACACCGAUGGCGAAGGCAGCCCCCUGGGUCAAGAUUGACGCUCAUGCACGAAAGCGUGGGGAGCAAACAGG
Molecule: ribosomal RNA, 253 nt
Filed under: uncultured bacterium
Lineage: Bacteria
Description: partial 16S ribosomal RNA
Rfam family: Bacterial small subunit ribosomal RNA
Source: RNAcentral